This is a long non-coding RNA of Chelonia mydas (Green sea turtle), 2556 nucleotides long. RefSeq lists it as uncharacterized. The transcript has 4 exons. The record is from RefSeq and is a predicted model, not a curated record. NCBI's taxonomy places the organism in Eukaryota, Metazoa, Chordata, Testudines, Cheloniidae.
UCAGUAAACCCAAAGCAAUAGCUCCAAUGCUCUGAGAUGUCACAAGCCAUUUCUGUGUGAAUGAGUAUAAUACCAGAAAAAGAGGGGGGUAUCCUUAGCUUUAUCUCUCUAUGGUACAGUCACUGAAAAUCAAAGGAAGGCUUAAAAUGGAGGAAAGCAAUUGCAUCAGAAAUAAGUUUAUUAAAGAUCUUCAGAAGCAGAAGAAUAUGUGAGGGAAAGACAUUUAGCUACACCUUGACAGAGGUUUUUCACUGAACUUCCUUCCGGAAUGCCUUUCUGGGAAUGUUCCUUUAAUGUGACAGAGGCAAACAGCUGCAGCCCUAAGUAGCAACUUUGUCGCUAGCUGUUCUUUCCAGCAUCUCUCUCUCUCUUCCACUUGUUCUCAACUGACACCUUGACAUUGGCCAGAGCUGCCACUUGGUCUGCCAAAGUCACAAUGUGACUAUCCAUCCGAAGAAACUUGUGGGGCCUGCUGUCUCUCCUCCCUUGCCCCCAGCCAUAAGUGUCUGAAUCUCAUCACCUCUCCCUGAAUGGCGAUGAGAUCCAGGGUCUCAGCACAGCUCCCAAGUGACUGUUCAAGGCUGUCCAGCAAGACUCCUAGGGGGACAAACCUGAGGAGUCAAGUGGAGUCAUGACCCCAAAAAGCCAAUAUCUCUUCAGGACUCAGGACCCUGAUGCUCGCUAGGUAGAAGGAGAGCUGCCCUGCAGCAACCAAUCCAAUUCCUGAGCAGCAACCCAGACAAGGACUGAGAAGGUGGCUCCUCUAGAAGGAACCUCAGAAGCACCUGCACCAACCAGAGCCCCAAAGACAGGACCUUAUCAGUAGUUGAGUGGCUGAAAAACCUGAUGGGGAGAAAAUGGGAAAACUCCAGGAUGGAAUGUCUUGCGGAUGUCAUUAGAGACUACCCACAAAAUGCAGAGAGGUGGAACCUGUAUUUGAAGGCUGAGAGGAAAUCCAGCAAGGACCCUGUGGCCCAGAGAACCUAUGUUUUACUUACGCUAACCUGCUUAAGCCAAUGUCUUAAAAGCAUUCCAGGGAGACAGUUGCAGUGACAAAUGACAGGCAAUGCAGUACAACAAACCAACACCCAGCCAUGUUAUGCAGCCCUGGACAAUAUGGGCUACUGAGAACAACUCCUCCUUGCUGUAUCCCCUGCAGUACUGUUCCCAAGGCCAAGUUGUUUAGUCAUCUGUGACUUUAAGCCUUUGGCAUCGUGCUCCCUGUUUCACAUUGCUGUUUUGUUUCACUGCUGCUUUAAUGAAAGGUCUCUUUGUAGUUGACGUAUGAAACAAUACAUUAAAAGCCAUUGUUUCAUUUUUUCUGUUGAAGGUUCAUUUGUUUGUUACAUAAUUUUUACUAAACUUUAAAAUUUAAUUCGUUAGGAGUUGACAGUUUAUUUUACACAGAAAAUAAUUGCUUGCACUAAUUCAUAAGGCUUUACAAACACACGUAGGCAAACACUGCACGUCCUCUACCCAGAAAUCUGCCAUGGUGGUCUGCAAGCCCUCGGAGCACUGGAGUGGUGACUUUUCCAUUUAUGAACUGAGCCUUGAUGGUGGAGGGACAAAGUAUAGGCACAGGGGUCCCAUCAGUUGUCCAGUACAGUUUAGGAACCCCAUGUGUGCAAAGCCAUCAACCACUGGAGCAUCGCCAAGCUUUAUAACCCAGUACAACCAUAUCUUUUUCCCUGUCAUCACAUCUCCAUGACAGUGGUUGACAGCAAGCCAAUUUGGCAUGGGGAUAUAGACUGGAAACAUUAUGGGGCGGCCAUCUUCCAAAUGGCAAUUGUGACCUGCUUGCCCAUGUAUAGGGCACCACAUGUUGGUAUGCUGCCACUGUAGUUUUGGGAUUAGUUCAGCCCACAUUUCCAAAAAGUUUGCCUUCCCUAUCCUGAAAUUCUCUUGCCAUUGCUGGUCAUCCUUACUCUGCAGACCAAUUCUUUCCUACCAAUCUGUGCUGGUUUCUGGAGCCCUGAAACAGCUCUGCACUCUGUGAAGCUGCACUAGGAACCAGUUCUCUAUCAUCAAUUGUUUGGUGUCUUCCUCAUCGGUGUCCCAUUGUAUAGCAGCUGGAAGAGCUGCUGCUGUCACAUCUUGAUGCAGCAAGCAAAGCCCCAAGUCAGAUUCAUCCCAUGUUGAGUGAUAGAGGCUGGUUGGGCUGUAUUAGAGGUUACCACUAUAGUGGCAUAGAGCCUUGCAACUGACAACAAUUCAACAAUGGUGGUAGCCCACCUGUAAAGGAAGUAUGAGGCGGACACAGAUGGAUCAUGGGAUUUUUUUAAAAAAAUGUGAACUAGGCUGAUUUCUGCUAUACAACCCACUGUGCCCAGUGCCAAAAAGAAAAAAAAAAUCCCAGAGUGCACACUGCUCAUCAGUAAAGUAAAGGCAUGUGGGAUGCCUUCUGACAAUACCAUGCCUUCAGUUUUCAGCAAACUGCUGUCGUGUGUACACAGUGGUGUGCACUGACAGAGGGCACACUUUCCUGUACGUGCUAUUACUGCAGCUUGUGUACUGUACGUUACCUGAUGCUCAGCAAAAAGCUGUAGAUUAACUCCC